This 6432-nucleotide long non-coding RNA is filed under the name Triticum aestivum (bread wheat). Its description in RNAcentral is "long non-coding RNA (TAES_LNC015569)". The record is from RNAcentral. Lineage: Eukaryota; Viridiplantae; Streptophyta; Magnoliopsida; Poales; Poaceae.
GGGGCUGCUCCUGAUUGGGUGGAAGCUGGAAGCGGAGCGCAUCACAUGCUCAGGUGGAGGAUGAAGGCUGUCACCACUCACCAGCAACCGUCAUGUACUGCAGUUUGGCAUGCUCUUUGGAAGGGGCAAACAAACAUCUAGGGAUUCCUGUGUUUCUUCGAAAACAGAGGAAGAACAAGUGGGUCUGAUACCACACUCAGGACUUAUCCAUUCAACGACGGUGGCUGCUGCUGGCGGCGGCGGCAGAGGCACGCACAACGGGAGCAGGUGGAGGAUGAAGGCUAUAUCAUGAACUAGCAUUUACAGCAUGUUUUUCUCAAACGGGAAAACAAACAGCAAUGGGGGAGUUUGUUUUGUCUCUCUUAUUAUUCCUCUGUUUCUUCCAAAACAGAGGAAGAUAAAAACAGGGUCUGAUCCCAGGCUCAGGACUUGUCCAUUCAGAAACGAUGGGAUUCGUCAGCAGUAGUAGUUUAUCCUUUUCUUUUGAGACCAGUGUGGAAUCAGUGGUAAUAGUAGACUAAUUCAGUAGCUGUUGAAAAACUUGCACUCAGAGAGAUUAAAUAACCAUCAUUCUUCUCCCUCUAUGUUUAUGCAUAAAUAGGUUAUGUCUUCAUUUUGAUUUGGAAACAAAAAUAUUAUUCCUUCCAUACAUACAUGGAUGCAGACGCAUUUAGUUGUUUUGGUUACAACUCGUACAACAUAAAAAUUCUGUGGUGCAUUCAGCAACAAUUGAAACAUAAAUAGUACUACUUUUCUGGGAGUAGGUUCAAUUAGGAUUCAGGAAUAUGUAAAGACAUGAUUUUUUUCGAGAAACAACAUGUCAGUUUUUUUUAAGGUAAAACAACAUCUCAGUUAACUAGAAUGGCAUCUGCAUGCCUUGAGAUCACCCACUCCAGAAGAUUCUGCUCGGCCUUGCCUUGGGGCGCAGUGUCUCGUGGAUGGUUCAGCGCCGAUCUUGCACGUCAGCCGUCGUGCCCUGUGUGGUGUCACAUCCCCAGGGAAGUAGCCAGUUUGGCACUUUAUAAGAACAUCUACAGUUGGACUUUGCAAAUCCGCCUCGCUAAAUAUCCAUGGACGCCAUGAGUGCGAUCCUAGACAGCGCCGGACGAUCCCUCAGAUGUCUUGCCGGACAACCACGGUCCUCAUAUCCAAUCCGUCAAAUCCAUGCAAUGGAUCAUAUAGCAGAAAUUCAUCCCAAUUCAACAACACAACAAAGCAAAAAAAAAUACAUUUCAACAAUCCAGACAUACCAUAAUGAAAUUUAACAUCCGGGCCGCGGAUGGACAACGUGAUGAACACUGGCCGGACGCCAUCCGUUCCGCAUCUGUCCUCGUACUCUCUAUGCAUGUUGAUCUUCUUCUCAAUUCCCAACUUGUUGCUCUCGGUUUGCAACUUGUUGUUCACCGUCUCCAGGUCCCAAUGCAUCUUCUCCUUUUGUGCAUCCAACAUGAGCUUGUACCCCGCCUCUUUCUUGUUCUCCCUUAUGGGAAAAAUGCUCGUCUAUGUGGUGGACAUUUUUGUCUCCGCGGUGUUACAAGCGACCCUCCUCUUCUCCCACUUGUUUCCCAUGUUUUGGUUGGUUAUGCACCGGCACGGUGGGUCUUUCAUCCUCCUCAAUAGCUUCUUCCUAGUCAUCCUCCAAUCCAAUGGAUUGGUUGGAACUUGAGCCGUUAUUUUUCUUCAACCUUUUGUUGCUGGCUUUGAGGUCUUCUACAAGUUGAUUCCACUUUGGUCGGCCAUUCCAUUUCAUCCAAAAACGGCUAAAAUGGAAUGUUUCUUCUUGGUUUGUUGGUACAAAGUGACCGCCCACAUCAUCUAUCAAACAAUAAAGUAAUCAUGGUAAUCCGGCACUAAAAAUUGGCAAUGUAAAUCAUAAUGAAACAAAGAAAUUCAAUUUACAUGAAUUUAAACUCCAAUGUCACUCUGAUUUCGGCGAAUCACGGAAGCAUAGUGGCCUACAAACUUGUUGACAUGCUCUUGGAUGGUGGACCAUUUAUGUUGGAGAGAGGCCAUAUUGCGAGUGGUAUUGAUAUGAUGUGGCUCCACAUAUUCUUUGUGUUCAUGAUACUAGUUGUGGAUCUUCUCCCAAUACAUGUUGCUCUUUUGCUCUGUGAAACAUAUAAGGUCCAUGCUUGUGGCUAACCAAGAUUUAACCAACAAAACAUCCGUAAAUGUUGUGAAUGUUGGACCUCUUGCCUUGGGUAACAAGAACCGCACCACACCUCUGCUCCCCAUCUCCUCCUUACACCAUAUUCUGCACACUCCAUGGCAUCCUGUGAGCGGUGAAAGGGGUUACCAUAAUAGUUGGCUGUGUGGCCCACCAAGCCCGCCUGAUACGAGCUAGACAACUCGCUGCUCCCACCUUCCUCGCUGCCCAGCCGUCAGUAUCAUGGGCAAGUCUGCAUGCGGGCUAGCGGAGGAGCAAGCCGUCGCUCCAAGUUGGCCCCUGGUGCAGCAACUCAUCGCUCCAAGCCAGCUCGCAGAGGAGUGGCUAGUUGCUCCAUACGUCUGCACGCAGGGGAGCACGAUGGCACGGGCACCAUGGAUGUCGUAGACGCCGAUGCAUCGUCACACUCCUCCCGCGCGUACUGUCGUGCCAUCCGCCGCAAAUGUUGGCAGCACUGCACCCUAUCGGCGGAGGCGUCGAGGCCGUCUGUGGCCGCCGCCGACACCGAAGAAAAGUAAAUCAUGGGAGGCUGCCGCCGCUUGGGUCCCACAAUGUCCACCGCCACCGAGUCGCCGGCAUACACAGCCAGUGUCUUGCCCGAUUCAACGCAAACCAUCGUAGACCCCUACCUCAGCUUCACGGCAGCGGAGUAGCGACUCUUCACCUCCGGCUGAAGCAUGGCUACUCUGAUGAGUGGCGCAACCGGACAUAGAAAAGAUAUGGCCAUAGAAAAGAUAUGGCGGAGGCAGAAGCCGCGGAGGAUAGCCAUGUCACUGGAAUGGAGACUGUCGUGGCCAGCAUUAGACUAGUUGAUUAGUUGAAGUAUGUCCAAAAUUAUACCUUCAGAGUCAGACGAGCUCCGCUUUUAAAGUAUGUAUGAAAUAUAAUGAAUUUCGUCCGGUUUAUAUGAAAUCCGUCUUGUUUGCAUUAAUUCUGUCCGCGUAGUUCAAACGUAUGCGGGCAGUGUUGGAUGGCCAGCUCCCGUAUCAGUAUCCCUGAACGGAUCCCCUCUGCUCGCCGAUGAAUGCCGGAGCAAAUUUGUGGGUCAGCACUAGAGAUGCCCCUAUCGCUGAAGCGACGCCACAUGGCAGGCUGUCCCAAACCUGAUACAAUUCCAAUAACUAUCCUUAAUUAGAUACUACAACACUUUGCGACAUUACGGACACUCCUUAAUUAGAUAUACAGUUGUGGCCAUCAAACAAUCAGAGUCCGCGUGCGCUGCUGGGUGCUGAAUCGAUCAAUCAAAGUAUAGAUCGAUCGGCUGGUUGUAAUUGUAUACGUGCGUGUCCUGUUCCGGCUACAGGUCCUAGCGCUACACGUCCACGUCCAGGGAAGGAUCGAUUGUUAGCAAGAAGCUAGUUGCGGAUCGAUUGUUAGCAAGAGAAGCUACAAGUGCUUCCCUUCAUCGUCGUUCGUCAUCCCGUCACCAGUCGCCGGAAGUACUACGGCAGCUCGACGCCAGGCGUCGGCAAGCAUGACAGGCGAAGAGGAGGCGUCGGCAAACAUGACAGGCGAAGAGGAGGAAGAGUUGGUGCCGCAGCUACGGUUCCCCGCGGGAUACCACUUCCGGCCAACCGACGAGGAGCUCCUCGACAUCUACCUCCGCGCCAAGAUCGACGGACGGGAGCCGCCGCUCGACGUGUUCAUGGACGUCGACAUCCUCGACUGGGACCCCGCCGAACUCGUCGGUACGUACGUGAUUAUACAACAUCUCAACUUCUUAAUCGAUGAUUGGCUCGAUAUAUUGAUCUAUUCAUCGUAAUUUUCUAUCCUCUACUAAUAAAUUCAGUCAAAUGUUGAAUCAAAUUGAGUCCAUGCAUCUUAAAACUUGUUUUCGUAAAUUCCCAUAUCAAAUGCAUGCACUCUGAAUCAAUCAAGGUAAUAGAUUAAUUUUGGUUUCAUCUUAACCUACCUAGAGAGGCGCAAGGCCUACGGGGAGGGCAGGUACUUCUUCUUCACGAAAAGGACCGAGAGCCCGGCGAACAAGAACAGCGAGCCGCGCCGGAAGCUGAACAAGGUGAGGGCGAGCUGGAAGGCGACGGGGUGCCUGGAGAUCAUCGAGCGCAGCCGAACCGGCGAGACCAUCGGGACAAGGAGGCUCCUCAUCUACGACUCCAAGGGCGUCCACCGUGACAAGUGGAGCAUGAACGAGUUUGUCUUGCGAGGCAGGGAAGGGGUACGUACACCUAGGUCAACACGCAUUGCUACCUUGCUUUUUUUAUAUAAGUACAAAUUAUCAAAGCAUGAAAUACUUGGAUGACGAACAGAAUCUUUACUGUUUCCGUUCCAAAAUACAUGUCUCAACUUUAAUACAACUUUGAAAAUAUUGUACUAUAGUUUUUCUUUAGAAUCACUUUGUACUAAAAUUGAGACACUUUUUUUAAAACGGAGGGAGUACUUAUCUAUGAUAUUCUGUAGAUCAAAUCAUCCCUUGUGCCCUGUUCUGCAAGUAAAUUAGGAUUUGUGGUCUACACCAUGUUCUCCUGCAUUUAUUCAUUGUGCCGCUCACAAUUUCAUGUAUAAAUAAUUCCAUAAGAGCAUUCCGUAAUGAGGUAUUACUAAUAUUAGUAAUUCCAAACAGUUUGAAUAUAUUAUUUUAAUUGCCAUAGUGUGUAGCCAAUUCUUCACACACCAAAUAACGAAUGUAAGUUUCCCCAAAAAAAACAAAUGUAAGCUUUAUUAGUUAAAAAAAGACAUUGUUUAGAACAUAAUCAAGUCUAGUCAAACAUUUGCAACUUUCACUAUCAACACUUUUUAGAACGUCCAGUGGGCUGAAUAUUUGAAAAUCACACGUAUAAAUUUAUCUCGACGCUGCAUUCGUUGUAUCCUAUUUUGUAGGGUUUUAUUUAUAAAUACAUUACUUCGUAUGUGAAUGUCUAGACUGUUAAUCGCAUGGCGUUGUAAUUAAGGUGCCAGAAGUGUAUGGGAGUGUACUAAUCAUAUACUUCUAAUAGCUUGUUAAGCUACUAUAAGCAUGUGGUAGAAGUAUAUAGAAGUGCACCGGGGUGUACUAACGUUAAAUACUACUACUACUUACAUCAGAUUCUCCUUUUACUCUGCCUGCAUUGCAGCUGGAUCAGUGGGUCUUGUGCACAAUACAGGAGAAGCAACACUGGGAGGCCAAAAGCAGCAAACGCACAGCUGGCAAGAUGGCAGAAGACACUAGUAGCGAAGGCCAGACGGCGGCAACAGGCGCUAGAAAGGUGCGCAAGACCAAAAGACAGAAGAAGGAGAAGAUGGACCCCUCCCAGCCACAUAAAACUCAGGAACAACUGCAGCAACCGCAGCAAAAACAAGACACCACAGCUGAUGUAUUCUCCGAACAGCCACCAAUGUUUACAAGUGAUCACCAUGCUUUGCAUGAAGAAGAGAUCAUGGAGCAGGACGAGACAACCCAGAUGAUGCAAGUCGUUGUCCAGCAAGAACAGACAUAUGGAGACCAGCAUUACCUUGACGCCCCAGCGCCACAAGAGACAACAUACGAAGGACCCGAUGAGCCACCGUUGAAGCCGCACCACCAGCAAGAUUACCAUGCUUGGCUGGAAGAGCAACAACAUCAGGAGCUUGAGGAUCCGUUCCCUGGUCAACAUCAGUUUGACCCAUUCAACACCAUGAUUUUUCAGGGCCACACCGAUCAAGAACCAACACCUGGGUGGUGGCAGCAGCACCAGCCAAGCUACAUAGAUAAUUAUCAGUUUUUCCUGCCAGCCAAUGGCGUGGAGCAUGCCAGCGGGUGUCAGCUUCCGCACCAACAGACUCUUUAUCCGCUUGGAACACCAGGAUCCCAUGGGGACUUCAAACCAACUUCACAAUAUGAACUGCAAUUCCCACCGAACCCCGCAAAACCCAACGAGCAGCAAACAAGUCCCGAUUCUGUGCUCAGCGCGUGUCAACAUUGUCGGCUGACUAGUGCGGAUAAGGUCGCGUGCUCCCUAUGUGGCUGUGGUGGAUUUAAUUCGGAGAUGAAGUAACUAGAUCUAUUAUCGUUAUGUAUGUACAUAUGCUGUCUUACUAUGUCAGAUUGAGUUGAUAGUCAUGUUUAGGGCCGUCUGAGUAAAGGUAAUUAGAGCAGCACGUCAAUAAAGCAGCGGACAUAUCCGCGUGCAUCCUGAGUUUAUGUCGUCGUCUGUGCAUUAUGCUUCUGCAUGUGGACAAUCAAACAAUAAUAGUACUAUGCUUGCUAAGUACUUAUCUAAUUGAUCGUUCUUUCUUUUUUUAUCCUGUGGUACAAAGGUGUUGGUAACUUCAUCCGCAGAAAAAAAAAA